This 501-nucleotide ribosomal RNA is filed under the name uncultured bacterium. Its description in RNAcentral is "bacterial SSU rRNA". It matches the Rfam family "Bacterial small subunit ribosomal RNA", at positions 15 to 518 of the family's 1533-position model. The record is from RNAcentral.
GAUCAUGGCUCAGGAUGAACGCUGGCGGCGUGCUUAACACAUGCAAGUCGAACGGAGUUUUAAACGGAAGUCCUCGGAUGGAAGUUAGAAACUAGUGGCGGACGGGUGAGUAACGCGUGGGUAACCUGCCUCAUACAGGGGGAUAACAGUCGGAAACGAUUGCUAAAACCGCAUAACAUAGCGAAACCGCAUGAUUUUGCUAUCAAAUAUUUAUAGGUAUGAGAUGGGCCCGCGUCUGAUUAGCUAGUUGGUGGGGUAAUGGCCUACCAAGGCGACGAUCAGUAGCCGGCUUGAGAGAGUGACCGGCCACAUUGGGACUGAGACACGGCCCAAACUCCUACGGGAGGCAGCAGUGGGGAAUAUUGGACAAUGGGGGAAACCCUGAUCCAGCGAACCGCCGCGUGAGUGAAGAAGUAUUUCGGUAUGUAAAGCUCUAUCAGCAGGGAAGAUAAUGACAGUACCUGACUAAGAAGCCCCGGCUAACUACGUGCCAGCCGCUGC